This 453-nucleotide ribosomal RNA is filed under the name uncultured Methanomicrobiales archaeon. Its description in RNAcentral is "bacterial SSU rRNA". It matches the Rfam family "Archaeal small subunit ribosomal RNA", at positions 885 to 1338 of the family's 1478-position model. The record is from RNAcentral. Lineage: Archaea; Methanobacteriati; Methanobacteriota; Methanomicrobia; Methanomicrobiales.
CAGGUGAGCCUGCGGUUUAAUCGGACUCAACGCCGGGAAACUCACCAGAUAAGACAGCUGAAUGAUAGUCGGGCUGAAGACUCUACUUGACUAGCUGAGAGGAGGUGCAUGGCCGUCGUCAGUUCGUACUGUGAAGCAUCCUGUUAAGUCAGGCAACGAGCGAGACCCACGCCAACAGUUGCCAGCUCGUCCUCCGGGAUGGUGGGGACACUGUUGGGACCGCCUCUGCUAAAGAGGAGGAAGGAAUGGGCAACGGUAGGUCAGCAUGCCCCGAAUUAUCUGGGCUACACGCGGGCUACAAUGGGUGGGACAAUGGGUAUCGACACCGAAAGGUGAAGGCAAUCUCCUAAACCCAUCCGUAGUUCGGAUUGUGGGCUGCAACUCGCCCACAUGAAGCUGGAAUCUGUAGUAAUCGUGUCUCAAAAUGGCACGGUGAAUAUGUCCCUGCUCCUU